GCUGUGGUGUAAUGGUAGCACGCGUGAUCAGUGUGGAUGGGGCGUGGGUUCGAGUCCCGUCUGAAGUC
Non-coding RNA from Parelaphostrongylus tenuis, 68 nucleotides. The record is from the annotation of a GenBank genome assembly. Lineage: Eukaryota; Metazoa; Nematoda; Chromadorea; Rhabditida; Metastrongylidae.